Molecule: long non-coding RNA, 1843 nt
Organism: Gallus gallus (chicken)
Lineage: Eukaryota; Metazoa; Chordata; Aves; Galliformes; Phasianidae
Source: Ensembl
GCCGGGGCCUGGAGCCUGCCUGCCCCCUCCCCUCCGGCUUUCGAACAGCCCUUCCUCCCCGAGCCCAACGGCGGCUCUGUAGCCGGCACCCAGCAGCUCAGUCAGACAAAGGAAAGAUCUUCAGGCUAAGAACAAAGCAAUCCUUCAAAUUUUACACCAGUACAUUAGGGCAGAAGAUAAUUGGAUGGACUUUUAUCAGUACAUUUUCCUGACUUGCUACUAAAGAGAAGCUGUGAACAGCAGAGGUUGAAGAGGAAAACAGGACAAGAAUUGAACACUACAGACCAAAGUGCUUAUGAAAUUUAAAGAUAAAGGAAAAAGUCCAGGGGAAAAAGAGAAAAGAAAGGAAGAGCCGCAGAAAGAUUCUCUAGAAUACAGCCACCUUGGAAGACAGAGCUCCUCCUCAGUGAGAGGGAGUCAGCUUUGGAACUGGAGUUUUCUCGAGAAAGAAAAGCCAUACAGAAAAGUAAUACUGACUGGGACUGAACCAUCUUUUCCACAUAGUAUUGGCAAAACCAUAAUAAGCCUGGCUAUUCCUUGGCUUAUUCCAACAACUGUAGUGGAUCUAAUGGAGAUAUUUUAGAGAACUUCAAUGAUGGGAGCUGGAGAAAGCAGUGUGUUUAUAGAUAAACACUGCUAUAUGAGGAAAAAAAUCUUAUUGUGAAUAUUACACAGAUUAGAUAAUAGUAAUAUGUUUUAAAAAUAAGUCACUUGAUUUAGAUAAAUGAUCUAAAUAUUAUUCACCUAAUCAGAAACAUUUUUAGCAACAAUUCUACAAAAUUUUUGUGUGUGUAAUUCAACACAUAAAACCACAUCAUCCAUAUGUAACUGACAGUGAGUCAUCUCUUGAAGCAUAAGAAAUGGGGACCUAAGUAAAAGCAUAAUACAGCACACAAUAUGUAGUAACUGAAGGGCAGAGACAAUGUUGCAUUAGUUUUAGGACUACUGCUUUAUGCCUCUGUCACCUUUAGAGGGACGGUUCCCUGGACAAGAUAGGAAAAAAAAGUUUUAGAAAUGUUUUGUCUUAGAGACCUGAACUUAUAAGGGCGAGUUUCUAUGGAGGGGGGGGGAGAGGGGAAGACUUUUGCAAGAUCUGUAAUACUGGGGCCAGUCAGAUGUUCACAAUAUAUUGCUCACCAAGAAACUGAGCCCGAGAAUUAUUAAGGUUUUUUUGGUGAAUAACUUUGAAUAAUUAAUUCUUCUGAGAAAACCACAAUCUGUUCACAGAGAGUUCAUGAAGAAAAAAAAAAAAAAAAAAAAAGAAAAGAAACCAAGGUGAAUAAUUCAUUAUGAAUUAUUUGACCUGUUUUAGCAAUGAGAUUCUAAAUCUGUCCUCUUAUGGAUAUUAACCUCAUUAAUACUAUUUAGAUACAAGACUUCGGGAUAAUUAAGAUGAUGCAAUACUGUCUAUCUAAUAUGACACUAUUAAUAUUUUUGUAAAUACUUUGAAAAUAAUGCUUUAUUUAUUGUAUUUUUUUAAAUCCUUGUGUAUAAAUUUAGAAGAACUGGCCAUCUUAGAAUAAUUAAUGCAAUAAUAGGACAUUCUUAUAUGAGAAGGAAGCCUUGAUGACAGAGAGAUCUAAAUGUUUAAAAUCUGCUUAGGUCUACUGCUAUAACACAUAGCUGAGUGACCAAUUCGCCUAUCAUUUGUGAAUUCUAGGGAAUUUGAGAGAAUGUCUAAUCCUGAACUGAGAAACAGAAUUUCCAGGGAUGGGAGAGAAAUCAGCUGAAAGUACAAUGUAAGAAAAGACUGGAAGAAGCAGAGUGAUCUUCUUGAAAUAGUGGAAAAAAGUCCAGAAGACCUGCUGGUACUAGCACAACAACUCUGCAUUGAAGAAAGAGG